This 980-nucleotide long non-coding RNA is filed under the name Salvia miltiorrhiza (redroot sage). RNAcentral describes it as "long non-coding RNA (SMIL_LNC010386)". The record is from RNAcentral. Lineage: Eukaryota; Viridiplantae; Streptophyta; Magnoliopsida; Lamiales; Lamiaceae.
AUUUAAAUGAACAAGGGAAAAACCUUGUGAAAUCCGAAUAAAAGGGAUAACAAUCGGGCAUCGCCCCUUUAGAUGAAGAAAGACAGAUAUCCAAUUGAUACAAAUCAAUCAACAAACAUGACAAACUUCAGGAUCACAAGUUUAGUUUCAUGCUUCAGAUAACCAACAUUCCUUAUACUUGAGAGUCAAAAGUCUAGGCUCAACAAAAGAUAUCGUUUAGAGUCAUAACAUAAAGGUCUUAAGUCAAGAAAACGAAAGACAAAUAAAGGCUAGUACUACAGCGGAAGUCAAAACACGGAGUUGAACCCUAGCCUCAGCUCUCCCCAUCAACACCAGCCAUCAACCUGAAAAACAUUUGAAAAUAUUUGGGCUAAGUACUAAUGUACUUAGUGGGCUGCAACUUUUAAAACAUUUCACAAUUCGUAAGAGCAGUUUAUCCAAUCAUUCAUGACAUAACUUAGAAGGUUUUAAAGUAAAGGAACUUCUAAGCAUGUUAAAGUAUUUCAUUUUAUUAGCGCGUUGUUGUCACACUCUGUUUAGUUACUCGCUGUGAUACUAGACCUUUUAGCCACCAACGUAUCGCUUUCUCCGAUGACACUUGCCCUGAGGACGUAACUCAGACAAGUUGAAUUGACCUCGGGACGCUACCCAGGCAGGCCUUACAUGAUACAUGCUCCAGAACACAUCCAGCCAAGCACCCUUAUAACGCCUUUUACAGGAAUUAGUGCCCGAUGGAGAUCAACCCAUCGAAACAACUAACAAGUGUACACAAUUCUCAAAUAACGUGUUAGGCCAUAAGAGAACCUCGAUCGAUCCAUGAAUUGCAAGCCUUAAACAUAACAGAGCGCACAAAAAAUAUUUAUUGGAUAAACAGUUUGCAUUUCAUGAAACAUUUAGAGCUUAGUAACUCAAACAUACAUUUGGAAAAUAAGCCCACCUGUAUAGGCAAUGACUGUCGUUUAUUCUUAUCUCUGAAUCGG